Molecule: ribosomal RNA, 445 nt
Filed under: uncultured bacterium
Lineage: Bacteria
Description: bacterial SSU rRNA
Rfam family: Bacterial small subunit ribosomal RNA
Source: RNAcentral
GCCAGACUCCUACGGGAGGCAGCAGUGGGGAAUAUUGCACAAUGGGGGGAACCCUGAUGCAGCGACGCCGCGUGAGUGAAGAAGUAUUUCGGUAUGUAAAGCUCUAUCAGCAGGGAAGAAAAUGACGGUACCUGACUAAGAAGCCCCGGCUAACUACGUGCCAGCAGCCGCGGUAAUACGUAGGGGGCAAGCGUUAUCCGGAUUUACUGGGUGUAAAGGGAGCGUAGACGGUUAUGCAAGUCUGGAGUGAAAGGCGGGGGCUCAACCCCCGGACUGCUCUGGAAACUGUAGAACUAGAGUGCAGGAGGGGUAAGUGGAAUUCCUAGUGUAGCGGUGAAAUGCGUAGAUAUUAGGAGGAACACCAGUGGCGAAGGCGGUCUGCUGGACAGCAACUGACGCUGAGGCGCGAAAGCGUGGGGAGCAAACAGGAUUAGAUACCCCGGUA